UACAGGGGGGGCAAGCGUUGUUCGGAAUUACUGGGCGUAAAGGGUCUGUAGGUGGCCAACUAAGUCAGACGUGAAAUCCCUCAGCUUAACUGGGGAACUGCGUCUGAUACUGGAUGGCUCGAGUGUGGGAGAGGAAUGCGGAAUUCCAGGUGUAGCGGUGAAAUGCGUAGAUAUCUGGAGGAACACCGGUGGCGAAGGCGGCAUGCUGGACCAUAACUGACGCUGAGAGACGAAAGCCAGGGGAGCAAACGGG
Molecule: ribosomal RNA, 253 nt
Filed under: uncultured bacterium
Lineage: Bacteria
Description: partial 16S ribosomal RNA
Rfam family: Bacterial small subunit ribosomal RNA
Source: RNAcentral